Molecule: unclassified non-coding RNA, 340 nt
Filed under: soil metagenome
Description: partial contains 5.8S ribosomal RNA, internal transcribed spacer 2, and large subunit ribosomal RNA
Rfam family: 5.8S ribosomal RNA (bases 1-120)
Source: RNAcentral
GAUGAAGAACGUAGCGAAAUGCGAUACGUAAUGUGAAUUGCAGAUUUCAGUGAAUCAUCGAAUCUUUGAACGCACAUUGCGCCCGCUAGUAUUCUGGCGGGCAUGCCUGUUCGAGCGUCAUUUCAACCCUCAAGCACUGCUUGGCGUUGGCGGAUUGCGUGCCCUCGCGGCGCUGCAACCGCCCAAAUACAGUGGCGGUCCCGCUGCGGCUCCCUUUGCGUAGUAACUCACCUCGCACUGGACCGGGCGGCGGCCUGCCGUAAAACCCCAACUCACGAAAUGUUGACCUCGGAUCAGGUAGGAAUACCCGCUGAACUUAAGCAUAUCAAUAAGCGGAGGA